RNAcentral lists this ribosomal RNA (554 nucleotides) under uncultured bacterium. Its description in RNAcentral is "partial 16S ribosomal RNA". It matches the Rfam family "Bacterial small subunit ribosomal RNA", at positions 355 to 925 of the family's 1533-position model. The record is from RNAcentral.
UGGGGAAUAUUGCACAAUGGGCGAAAGCCUGAUGCAGCAACGCCGCGUGAGUGAUGAAGGCCUUCGGGUUGUAAAGCUCUGUCUUUUGGGACGAUAAUGACGGUACCAAAGGAGGAAGCCACGGCUAACUACGUGCAGCAGCCGCGGUAAUACGUAGGUGGCAAGCGUUGUCCGGAUUUACUGGGCGUAAAGGAUGCGUAGGCGGAUUUUUAAGUGAGAUGUGAAAUACCCGGGCUUAACUUGGGUGCUGCAUUUCAAACUGGGAAUCUAGAGUGCGGGAGAGGAGAAUGGAAUUCCUAGUGUAGCGGUGAAAUGCGUAGAGAUUAGGAAGAACACCAGUGGCGAAGGCGAUUCUCUGGACCGUAACUGAUGCUGAGGCAUGAAAGCGUGGGUAGCAAACAGGAAUUAGAUACCCUGGUAGUCCACGCCGUAAACGAUGAGUACUAGGUGUAGGAGGUAUCGACCCCUUCUGUGCCGCAGUUAACACAAUAAGUACUCCGCCUGGGAAGUACGAUCGCAAGAUUAAAACUUAAAUGAAUUGACGGGGUCAUAGC